UGCAGUUUCACUCCUGAAAUCAGUGU
RNAcentral lists this non-coding RNA (26 nucleotides) under Homo sapiens (human). The record is from RNAcentral. Lineage: Eukaryota; Metazoa; Chordata; Mammalia; Primates; Hominidae.